Molecule: ribosomal RNA, 499 nt
Filed under: Salmonella enterica subsp. enterica serovar Newport str. L0167
Lineage: Bacteria; Pseudomonadati; Pseudomonadota; Gammaproteobacteria; Enterobacterales; Enterobacteriaceae
Description: bacterial SSU rRNA
Rfam family: Bacterial small subunit ribosomal RNA
Source: RNAcentral
UUAAAUUGAAGAGUUUGAUCAUGGCUCAGAUUGAACGCUGGCGGCAGGCCUAACACAUGCAAGUCGAACGGUAACAGGAAGCAGCUUGCUGCUUCGCUGACGAGUGGCGGACGGGUGAGUAAUGUCUGGGAAACUGCCUGAUGGAGGGGGAUAACUACUGGAAACGGUGGCUAAUACCGCAUAACGUCGCAAGACCAAAGAGGGGGACCUUCGGGCCUCUUGCCAUCAGAUGUGCCCAGAUGGGAUUAGCUAGUUGGUGAGGUAACGGCUCACCAAGGCGACGAUCCCUAGCUGGUCUGAGAGGAUGACCAGCCACACUGGAACUGAGACACGGUCCAGACUCCUACGGGAGGCAGCAGUGGGGAAUAUUGCACAAUGGGCGCAAGCCUGAUGCAGCCAUGCCGCGUGUAUGAAGAAGGCCUUCGGGUUGUAAAGUACUUUCAGCGGGGAGGAAGGUGUUGUGGUUAAUAACCACAGCAAUUGACGUUACCCGCAGAAG